UUCUGAAAGAGCGGAGGAGUGAGGACGAUGGUAUUGGGCAGACUCGAGAAUCUCGUCACCGGCAAUUUGGCAUUGCCAGAGGUGGAUGUCUUCCUCCUCGUCUUCUUUGUUACUGCUGAUUCAGGCUCCCCCAGGGGUUGUUUCCAUGACUAUCUUCAUCGACUCAAAUGCGGCCUAGUAGCGUUAAAUUGGAGCGAGAGUUAACAUGCUAGUUCAUUCGGCUUUGCUGCGAGGUUGAACAAAUCCAAAUCUCACAGCCAUAUUCAUAAGUAAUUCUCAAUUGGAAGAGCUUGGCCCUGCCAUCUCUGCAGCCUAUGUACUGCUAUUUCCGGCCGGCGAUUUUCCUUUGAAUCAGCCAGAAGCUCAGAAUCUUGUCAGUCAUCUCUACUGCUCUGCCAAACUACUAGCAUUGUUGUUUCCGUGAGCCAACCAUAGGCUUUCUGGUGAGCAAGUAUAGUAUGCUUAUUUUCAUUUUAUGACUCAGAAUUUUAAUCUCUCAGAGGCAGGAUGUGGGAGUCGAGGAUGAAGGUAACAUAGUGUGCUUAGUGGGGUUGUUCCGGAGGGGCCAUUAAAAUUUUCACCUUUUCCAAAAAUCUGAGAUUUAAUUGGAGGCAGUUAAUAUAAAAUUCUUAUCCCUUCCGGUAGAAAGCGUCUGUUUAGAGCUUGGGAUACGCAUAUUUCAUCGCUUUUGCAGCGUGGGGAGAGGGGGAUUUCUGAAAGUCACCUUUGUUCUUUAUGAAACAGAUUUGAAAACCUUGUAUGUACUAAAGUUUAUUUUAUACAAAAUCUUACUUCAAUUCAUAAGUCCAAUUCGUCCUCUCCUUUUUGAAAAAAUAGAAAUUCCAUCGACGAAUCCUUUGUAUCUUCAAACAAUUUUUGUUGUAUGUUGAAACGAUGUCUAUAGCACUGCAUCUUCUCCUUUAUAGCCAAUUAUCAUAUUCAUGUGUAUGCAUGUUUGGGAGUUGCCCUUGGAAACCAAACCAAUUAAUUAAACUAGGUUAUUUUGCCAGCAAAUUUGACAGAACAUCCUAGGAUCAUUUCAGGGACGUAGACAAACUCAUCUAUUAAAGCAGGGUGAACAAUUGGCUACGAAACUCGCAAUUUUUAAUGUUCAUCAGAAGAAUGCCUGUGUAUUGCUCUCCGGCUUUCAAACUUACUAGGCACCUUGUAGCAUUUAACUAGCUGCUAAUUCAAACUUUUCCAAUUUUUUCAGAUUCCCAAGCAGAAUGCAAAAACUAUCUGAAUAAUAAUUGAGCUACUUGUUGCCAAAUUAGAACUUCCCUAAUACGAAUUCAGUAGCCUCCAACCAGCCACCAAAACGGUUUAGCUUUUAACACAGGAUAUAUGCCAUUCUCCCUAGGCUUGCUUUCUCAUGCAAGUACCGUUCACAAAAGAUAGUUGUGAUGCUAUCUUUCUUUUUUCUUUUGUAUUUGGCAAGUAUGUUCAAUGUUGUUUAAGUUUUUCAUCAUUCAUAUUUACUAUAGUUGUCUGUGCAGGAUAACUUGGAUAUCUUUCAAGUUAGUUCUUGUAUUUGGCACAGUCUAACCUGAGGCCUUCUCUCUCUCUUUUUUCUAUUUUAUUUUUCAGCAAUAUGAUUGGCAGCUACCUGAAAGCUGACUCCUGUAUGCCCUUUUGUUAGGACUCUCUAUCUGCGCAUUGGCUAUGUUUAUCUCAGCAUGUCUACAUGACAGCCAUUGAUCAUUGAGUUUUCUCUAAUAUGAUGAAGUAUUGCUCAGAAGUCACCUACCUCGUGUUACUUAUUAAGGUUCCCAAGGAAAAAGUUCCCUGUAAUGAAUGGACAUGAAGACGGACGUUCUCAUCUUCCAUUGAGUUUCAACGUCUCUUCAAAAGGACUUCCACCAUGUGUUUCCCCCAAGUGCUCAAGUAAUGAAACAUCCAUUUCUCACUUAUGUAGUAAUUAUAAGUAUGAGAAAUGAUAGUUACAGUCGUAAGUAUGCAAGUGCCGUGCAAUCAUUUUAAAAAAAUGAAUAAAUACGAGAUUUACAUGAAAAGA
This is a long non-coding RNA of Juglans microcarpa x Juglans regia, 2014 nucleotides long. RefSeq lists it as uncharacterized. NCBI's taxonomy places the organism in Eukaryota, Viridiplantae, Streptophyta, Magnoliopsida, Fagales, Juglandaceae. The transcript is spliced from 3 exons. The record is from RefSeq and is a predicted model, not a curated record.